Molecule: ribosomal RNA, 449 nt
Filed under: uncultured bacterium
Lineage: Bacteria
Description: bacterial SSU rRNA
Rfam family: Bacterial small subunit ribosomal RNA
Source: RNAcentral
CCAGACUCCUACGGGAGGCAGCAGUGGGGAAUAUUGGGCAAUGGGCGCAAGCCUGACCCAGCAACGCCGCGUGAAGGAAGAAGGCUUUCGGGUUGUAAACUUCUUUUCUGGGGGACGAAGAAAGUGACGGUACCCCAGGAAUAAGCCACGGCUAACUACGUGCCAGCAGCCGCGGUAAUACGUAGGUGGCAAGCGUUAUCCGGAUUUAUUGGGUGUAAAGGGCGUGUAGGCGGGAGUGCAAGUCAGAUGUGAAAACCACGGGCUCAACCUGUGGCCUGCAUUUGAAACUGUACUUCUUGAGUGCUGGAGAGGCAGACGGAAUUCCUAGUGUAGCGGUGAAAUGCGUAGAUAUUAGGAGGAACACCAGUGGCGAAGGCGGUCUGCUGGACAGCAACUGACGCUGAGGCGCGAAAGCGUGGGGAGCAAACAGGAUUAGAUACCCCUGUACU